Molecule: non-coding RNA, 24 nt
Filed under: Arabidopsis thaliana (thale cress)
Lineage: Eukaryota; Viridiplantae; Streptophyta; Magnoliopsida; Brassicales; Brassicaceae
Source: RNAcentral
GGUUUCUUUGUCCGUUGCUAUGGU